UAGGGAAUCUUCCGCAAUGGGCGAAAGCCUGACGGAGCAACGCAGCGUGAGUGAUGAAGGUCUUCGGAUCGUAAAACUCUGUUAUUAGGGAAGAACAAAUGUGUAAGUAACUAUGCACGUCUUGACGGUACCUAAUCAGAAAGCCACGGCUAACUACGUGCCAGCAGCCGCGGUAAUACGUAGGUGGCAAGCGUUAUCCGGAAUUAUUGGGCGUAAAGCGCGCGUAGGCGGUUUUUUAAGUCUGAUGUGAAAGCCCACGGCUCAACCGUGGAGGGUCAUUUGAAACUGGAAAACUUGAGUGCAGAAGAGGAAAGUGGAAUUCCAUGUGUAGCGGUGAAAUGCGCAGCGAUAUGUAUGAACACCAGUGCCGAAGGCGACUUUCUGGUCUGUCACUGACGCUGAUUUGCGAAAGCGUGGUGAUCAAACAGG
RNAcentral lists this ribosomal RNA (429 nucleotides) under Actinomycetes bacterium. Its description in RNAcentral is "Actinobacteria bacterium partial 16S ribosomal RNA". It matches the Rfam family "Bacterial small subunit ribosomal RNA", at positions 355 to 776 of the family's 1533-position model. The record is from RNAcentral. Lineage: Bacteria; Bacillati; Actinomycetota; Actinomycetes.